CAAUGCUUUCAGAGUUUGCAUGGACGUGAUCCAACUCAACUCAAAAUAGUAACAAAGGCUGACUCUAAACCUGUGACAGAGAUUCUCUGAAAGGGACCAAGAGUCAAGCCAAGAGCUAAUAAGCCUUUUCGGAUCUGAAGGAGACUGCCUGACUCUGACCCUGCUGUCCACAAAGGAUUAGAUCUGAAAUCCUUAAGGGAUACUGAAUCUGUGAGAGCCUUGAAUCAACCAACCCAUCCACCAACAAACACCUGUAAAGUUUCCACCACAGUGCAGGUACCCUGGGAACAAGGCUGGGGAGGACCCCUCCUUCAUGGACAGAAAAUGCACUCAGCAGGUGUAAUGGGUUACACCACCUGGCAGAGAGCAUGCUGGGUGAGUGGGUCGCCAGGGGGUCUAUGCUUAUCUGAGAGGCAGGGAAAGCCUCCUAAGGAAGCUAUGUGCAACCAUGCUGUCACUUCAGUCAUGUCUGACUCUUUGCGACCCCGUGGACUGUAGCCCGCCAGGCUCCUCCGUCCAUGGGAUUCUCCAGGCAAGAAUCCUGGAGUGGGGAGGAUGUGAUACCUAAG
RNAcentral lists this long non-coding RNA (569 nucleotides) under Bos indicus x Bos taurus (hybrid cattle). RNAcentral describes it as "lncRNA (ENSBIXG00005017458.1)". The record is from RNAcentral. Lineage: Eukaryota; Metazoa; Chordata; Mammalia; Artiodactyla; Bovidae.